AACGAACGCUGGCGGCAUGCCUAACACAUGCAAGUCGAACGAGACCUUCGGGUCUAGUGGCGCACGGGUGCGUCACGCGUGGGAACCUGCCCUUAGGUUCGGAAUAACUCCCCGAAAGGGGUGCUAAUACCGGAUAAUGUCUUCGGACCAAAGAUUUAUCGCCUUUGGAUGGGCCCGCGUUGGAUUAGCUAGUUGGUAGGGUAAAAGCCUACCAAGGCGACGCUCCAUAGCUGGUCUGAGAGGAUGAUCAGCCACACUGGGACUGAGACACGGCCCAGACUCCUACGGGAGGCAGCAGUGGGGAAUAUUGGACAAUGGGCGAAAGCCUGAUCCAGCAAUGCCGCGUGAGUGAUGAAGGCCUUAGGGUUGUAAAGCUCUUUUACCCGGGAUGAUAAUGACAGUACCGGGAGAAUAAGCUCCGGCUAACUCCGUG
This 433-nucleotide ribosomal RNA is filed under the name uncultured bacterium. RNAcentral describes it as "partial 16S ribosomal RNA". It matches the Rfam family "Bacterial small subunit ribosomal RNA", at positions 29 to 507 of the family's 1533-position model. The record is from RNAcentral.